GGUCCGAACCCACGAGCGUUGAAAAGCUCGGGGAUGACUUGUGGGUAGCGGUGAAAUUCCAAUCGAGCCCGGAGAUAGCUGGUUCUCCCCGAAAUAGCUUUAGGGCUAGCCUCAAGGUGAGAGAUACGGAGGUAGAGCACUGAAUGUCCUAGGGGGUAUUGCACCUACCGAAGACUAUCAAACUCCGAAUGCCGUCAUCUUAUACUUGGGAGUCAGACUGUGGGUGAUAAGAUUCAUAGUCGAAAGGGCAACAGCCCAGAUCGUCAGCUAAGGUCCCUAAAUGUAAGUUAAGUGGUAAAGGAUGUGGGAUUGCACAGACAACCAGGAUGUUGGCUUAGAAGCAGCCACUCAUUCAAAGAGUGCGUAAUAGCUCACUGGUCGAGUGAUCCUGCGCCGAAGAUUUCCGGGGCUAAAACUUACUACCGAAGCUACGGCAUCAGUAAUGAUGGGUAGGGGAGCUUCCCAUACGGGUUGAAGCAUGACCGUAAGGACAUGUGGACAGUAUGGGAGUGAGAAUGUUGGCAUGAGUAGCGAGAUGUGGGUGAGAAUCCCACAGGCCGUAAACCCAAGGUUUCCAGGGGAAGGUUCGUCCGCCCUGGGUUAGGCGGGACCUAAGCUGAGGCCGAAAGGCGUAGGUGAUGGACAACAGGUUGAUAUUCCUGUACUACCGAUAACCGUUUGAGAGAAGGGAUGACACAGUAGGAUAAGCUAAGCACACUGUUGGUUAUGUGUGCCCAAGCAUUGAGGCAGUCAAAGUAGGCAAAUCCGCUUUGAUAAUGCUGGGAUGUGAUGGGGAGCGAAAUUUAGUAGCGAA
RNAcentral lists this ribosomal RNA (814 nucleotides) under Clostridioides difficile. Its description in RNAcentral is "bacterial LSU rRNA". It matches the Rfam family "Bacterial large subunit ribosomal RNA", at positions 771 to 1589 of the family's 2925-position model. Lineage: Bacteria; Bacillati; Bacillota; Clostridia; Peptostreptococcales; Peptostreptococcaceae. The record is from RNAcentral.